Long non-coding RNA from Brassica napus (rape), 2160 nucleotides. RefSeq lists it as uncharacterized. The record is from RefSeq and is a predicted model, not a curated record. Lineage: Eukaryota; Viridiplantae; Streptophyta; Magnoliopsida; Brassicales; Brassicaceae. The transcript has 2 exons.
CUUUUUUUUAUAAUUGACUUUCUUUCUUUCUCUCUCCACCCACUAUUUAGAUUUUACAAUCUAAACGGUGACGUUUCGUUGGUCUUCUAAUCUAAACACCAGCCGUUGGAUCAAACGGCCCGGUUUAUAAUACUUUUCUUCUAUUUGCUUUCUAAUUUGCCGGUUUAUAGUAUCUCAAUGCAAUUUGGAAGUAUUACUUUUUUCAACUAGGGUUGUGCAUUCAUAUUCAUAUGCAUACCCCAUUACUCGGUCAAAUUUGGUAGGUAAUAUAAAUUGAAUUCCAAAAAAUAUUGAUAUCUAAAUGUAAAAGGUCAUUCUAGAAGAACAUAUCUAUUCCCGUGCUAUUCGAUUCAGUAAUUAUCUAUGUAUCUAUAAUUUCUACAGUUGUAUUUUAAACAAUACACAGAUUCUUCUCUUAUACAGUUAACCUUCUUCACGUUGAUUUAUAGUUAAAACAAAAAUUAUAUAUCAUAAAAAUAUCUUUAUGGGCUAAAAUGUGAUUCAGUCGUUAUUAUGGGCCGAGCAGGUUUUUUUUUAUUUUCCAUCGCUCUCUUGCUCCAAUAUAAGCAACAAGGUGGUACGUAAAUGGCAGAAUGGGAAAUCUGGAGGAUACUUUAGCUUUUUAAUGUUGUUGUUUGGAAAAUCUUGACGUGUAGCUUUUGUGCUAAAGUUUCACUAAUAAUUAUAACUACUUCCACAUCUAUGGCUACUUUGAGGAUAUUACAUGUCAUAAAUUGUCAUCGUAAGGUUACUGAACAUGUGGUACGUUCUUAUGUACAAGUCUGAUAUUUUUUGUAUAUUCAAAAACUUAGAACUAGAUUUUCAUUGAUCUACUUAGUGAAGAUUCUUGAGUCUUUGGAGAUGGUCUUAUUGAAUUCUCUUUUUGCUUCCAGUGGGAACUAUUUAACCUUUGAGCGCAUGAUGUUGAUAGUAUUCACAGAAUUGUCAACCUUUUCGUCUAAACCUUUCAAUAGGCCCCUUGUCAAAGACAAACAAACAAAAAAACUAAAGAAAAUACUUUUUCUCUAGUGGGUGAGAGAAUCAAACCCGAAAAAUGUGUAUUCUGCAAUACAUUUUAUACGUUGAUAAGCUUUUCUUGUAGUUUUCGGACUGAGGGAUGUGCUAAUCUUCAAGAGCACGCCAAUCAGAAAACUAAACAGAUUAAGACAAAAACAACUUUGAGAAAAGAGCAGGAACCAGAUUGUCAUUUAUAGUAAGGUGAUCCAGAGGCUCAAGCCAAGGUCAUGUAGUGACCAAUCCUUUAACUUAUUGCAAUGUGAGUACAAAUAGAAUAUUUAUAGAUGACCAUGUUACUUAAAGAAAGAAAGAAAAAUAAAUACGGCUUGAAAUGCUAUGCAUCAUUUGUUAGAGUGAAAGGUAAUAACACAAUAUUAAACUGUAUAAUGAUUUUAACUGAAUUACCUUGAAACUCCAACUGUAUUUCUCUGCUUUUAGAUGCAUAUAUAAGGAUUGCUACGUAGGAGAGAUACCGUCACCAUCUUCUAAACUCUUAAGAAGAAGUGAUGGCGCUAUCUCUCCUGCGAAGCGAACCUUUAUUUGCAGUUUCCAAGCCAUCGAAGAAGCAAGAAAACACUCAUGAUGAUUCUGUAUAUAUGUGUGUAAGUGUAAACACUCUAUUAGAUUCAUCUCAUCCAUGUAUAUAUAUCCAAUGGUUUUCAAGAGAGAAUAUACUAUCACAAUCGUUGCUCUUUGGUUGUCGUUUAGUUUGCCGCUUUCUUUGUGGCUACAAUCAAAUGAACUAUUAUCCCAAGUGAGGUCAUCGUUUUCACGUCAUGUCCAAUUAUUUGACAUUACCUUUCACCUCCAAGAUGUUACAAACAUAUAUACAACGUUCACUGACAGUGGCGAAAAUCUAGCAAGGUUUCAUAUGCAUAUGGAGGGAAAUUGCGACAUCAAGACCUUGGUUUUUGCAUCAAGGUCUCAAAAAACAUUGACGUCUGAUCCUUGUAUAAUGGUUGGUACUUUGUACUCCGAGUAGCUCCUGGAUUGUCACUCUGUGGCACAACUUGAGCCAUUGUAUCGCUAUGGCACUUAUCCAUACCAACUAAGAUUUACACAUUCUAUUUGUACGUAUAAUCUCAAUAAAACAUUCUUUGAAAAUUUUUACUAUCACAAUAUUAUUUUAGUAGUCUUUUUCUC